UACAGAGGGGGCAAGCGUUGUUCGGAAUUACUGGGCGUAAAGGGCGCGUAGGCGGCCUUCUAAGUCGAACGUGAAAUCCCCGGGCUCAACCCGGGAACUGCGUCCGAUACUGGAAGGCUUGAAUCCGGGAGAGGGAUGCGGAAUUCCAGGUGUAGCGGUGAAAUGCGCAGAUAUCAGGAGGAACACCGGUGGCGAAGGCGGGUCUCUGGGCCGAUACUGACGCUGAGGAGCGAAAGCCAGGGGAGCAAACGGG
Molecule: ribosomal RNA, 253 nt
Filed under: uncultured bacterium
Lineage: Bacteria
Description: partial 16S ribosomal RNA
Rfam family: Bacterial small subunit ribosomal RNA
Source: RNAcentral